Panicum virgatum (switchgrass) is the source of this 1206-nucleotide long non-coding RNA. RefSeq lists it as uncharacterized. NCBI's taxonomy places the organism in Eukaryota, Viridiplantae, Streptophyta, Magnoliopsida, Poales, Poaceae. The record is from RefSeq and is a predicted model, not a curated record. The transcript is spliced from 2 exons.
CGUGGAGGCCGGAGCCGUGUAACGCCCCGAUAUUUGCCGGGGUCACCAAGGCCAAUUUGGCCACGACACCGCCGAACGACGCGCGCGUUCCGCGUGUCCCGCGUUGCCGCCGUGCUGCCCCUUCCUUCUGCUGCUGCUCGCCCACUGCCCUCUCCUUCCUCUACUUUCUUCUUCCUCGAGCAGAGCUCGAAUGAGCUCGUGCGGCUCCCGUCCACCGGCCAAAUCCCCGGCCUCCGCCCCACCAUCUUCAAAUCGCCGCCAACCGAAGCUCCCUCACCUCUCUAGCUUCCUCCUCAGCCCCUCUGACAUGAGCCCGACCGCCGCACGGCCGGGAAACAAGGAUUCUCCGGCCGCCAGCCAUCCAUGGCCAUCGAGCUCCACCUCGACGUGGAACUCCUAGCUCCGGCCACCAUUUUCUUCGUCUAGCGGCUCAAAUCGAAGCUAGGUGAGGCACUAAUGCUCAUGCUCUCCUCAUUCCAGCGCGUUCCACGAGUUUCCGCGCUCGUUUCCGAGCCAUGCCGCCGCCGGCAUGCUGCUGCUCGUCGCGAGCCGGGCGCACGCGCCCCUGCGCCGCACCGCCGAGCGCCCCUACUCCGUCCGACCCUAAUGAAUCCUCCCAUGGCUUCCCCGUCGUCGACCCGCCUCGCCGUCGACGAGAGCGCCGCCGCCAUCACCGCCUGUGGUACUGCUCCCGUCGCCGGCCCUCUCCGGUCGCCCCCAACCCCAACCAAGCCCACCUACAGGUACGAUAGAUGAACCACGUGAAGGAUGUGAUAUUGGAACAGAACACGAAGACGAUGUUUGGUGGACAUAUCCAGAAGAGGCAAAGAACCAGGAGUACAUGCUUGGACCGGAAUACUCGCCAAGCAAGUGUCAUCUAACUAACACUGACUUAGUGUUAAUCCCAGGCAAGCCCCGGUGCAUGUCCGAUUAUUUUAAAUUAUGAUAUCUAUAUACGUUUUUAUUACUUGUGCAUUAUGUUUCAGGAGUUGAUUGGAACCCUAGUUGCAUGAUCCUUAGAUUCCUGGAGUUGUACUAGCAUGUAUAGGACGAUAGAACUGCUAUGCUUAAUAAGUUCUCGAUAGAAGACGAGUGACUUCUCGUCACUCCCGAGAUAUAGGAAAACUUUAGAAGCCGAGUAAUUGCCGGUUACUCGCAAGAUACAUUAUUGUCGUUAUACUUCAGUAAUUGAGAAAUGGAUUGAAA